CGGGAUAUAGCUCAGUUUGGUAGAGCACCUGGUUUGGGACCAGGGUGUCGUAGGUUCAAAUCCUACUAUCCCGA
Molecule: transfer RNA, 74 nt
Filed under: Acanthoceras zachariasii
Lineage: Eukaryota; Bacillariophyta; Thalassiosirophyceae; Acanthoceratales; Acanthocerataceae
Description: tRNA-Pro
Rfam family: tRNA
About the family: Transfer RNA (tRNA) molecules are approximately 80 nucleotides in length.
Source: RNAcentral